UACGGAGGGUGCAAGCGUUAUCCGGAUUCACUGGGUUUAAAGGGUGCGUAGGUGGGUUGGUAAGUCAGUGGUGAAAUCCCCGAGCUUAACUCGGGAACUGCCAUUGAUACUAUUAAUCUUGAAUAUUGUGGAGGUUAGCGGAAUAUGUCAUGUAGCGGUGAAAUGCCUAGAGAUGACAUAGAACACCAAUUGCGAAGGCAGCUGGCUACACAUAUAUUGGCACUGAGGCACGAAAGCGUGGGGAUCAAACAGG
RNAcentral lists this ribosomal RNA (253 nucleotides) under uncultured bacterium. RNAcentral's name for it is "partial 16S ribosomal RNA". It matches the Rfam family "Bacterial small subunit ribosomal RNA", at positions 524 to 776 of the family's 1533-position model. The record is from RNAcentral.